GGACUUGGAUAAAAAAGUCUCCCAAGCAAAAGAUGUACGAGAAAAGUUUCUUGCAAUUUUUCCUUCUAAUAUUUUGCUAGUUUGAUCAAAAUUUUAUCCAUCAGAUCCCAUAUAUAUGAAGAUUGAAGAAAGCAGGUGCAACGGAUGCUCUUUUGGAAAUUGCAGAGAGGUAUUAACAAACAGAGAGCAAAACUGAAGAUCGGGUACUUGAUAUUAUGAAGCCAUUAGAGGCCGGAACUCAAAAUUUGGCCCAUUGAACGCUGAAGAACUAGCUGCACGGGUCGACGGAAAAGAAUACGAAUCCAAUCUGCUUCCAUGGUGGCGGCGUGGCUAGGAAGAAGAAGCUAGGGCUUUUUUCGUUCAUGAAAGAAGCUUCUAGAGUGGCUUUGGGCUACUUUGGACUAGGUUUCAACUUCCGGGUUCAAGUGUGUUGGGCUAGGCCUGAAGCCCAAAAUAGGUAACCAGGCUGGGACUAAGGCCAUGGUGAAGUAUAACACUACAGGCAUUGGGUCUUCCUUUGUAGACUUUGUUCCUAGGUUUCUGGGUUGCUUUGCCGGUUCGGAACCCGAUUUCGUUCCUGCCUAGUCUGAGGCGUCUUCGGUGGCUUUCCCGGCUGUCUCCAAGGACUCUGCAAUUCAGCAGUUGGGGUCUUCUCAGAGGUUGGUGAGUCUUGCUGAUUCUAGGUUCUCUUCCCCCACCGCUCGUCACCAGAGUUGUUGUCUUCAGUGUCGGCAUCAGUAAGUUGUUUGGUCUUUUUCUUUGGUUGCCUCUUCUCCAGCUGUUGCUUGCUUGGCUUUUCAGUCCUUCUCCGACGUGCAACCUCUGCAAGUUUCCUCUUCUUCUCAGUCUUGCAUCACCUCCUCUCAGUCUUUUUCAGGGGCGGCUAAGUUAGGAAAGAGGUUGCAUUCCUCUUCUCCUGUGUUGUUGUACUCUAAGCCGUUCCAAAAGUAUUAUCGGAAUGCUAUGGCAUAUGGACGAGAAUCUUUUUGCCGAUUCUAUUGACGCUUUGAGGCCAGUUGCUCAAGUUCUGGGGUUUCUUCCUCUACUCCCGACUAUUAGUGAUCUUGCUGAGAAAGUAGUUUACAUGAAGGAUAAGGGUAAGUCUCUUUCUCCGGUGAGGGGUUUUCUUUGGCGAGGGUUUCUCAACCUGAUGCAGGAGGAAAUCGAACACAACUAUAGAAUUAUUUAGUCUAUGAUGUGGCGAUGUGAUUGGUUUGAUUUAAGCAAGAAAGGGAAGGGUCAACUACUCAAGAAAAAAGAAGAGACCUUUGACAAUUAUGAUUUAGAAGAUAUUCUCUACCGAGUUGUCAACAUCCAUCAAGAGAAAGACCAAGAAGGAAAGAAGAGAUUAUCGACAAAUCUCUUGAUUCAUCUUUUAAAGAAUUCUCAUAUUUAUAUUUACGUUGUCGUCAAGUAAUAUUAUAGUUAUUAUUUUUUUCCCUAAAUAUGGUCAUUCUUUGGCACCAAGUAUUUUCCAUUAAUUUGGAGAUAUUCUUUGGUACCAAGUAUUUCCAUAAUAUGCUUAUUUGUAUUUAUUCAAGUCUUUGGAGAUUUUUUUUGGGUUUUACUAUUUUUGGUAAAAUCCUAUA
Long non-coding RNA from Alnus glutinosa, 1589 nucleotides. RefSeq lists it as uncharacterized. The record is from RefSeq and is a predicted model, not a curated record. NCBI's taxonomy places the organism in Eukaryota, Viridiplantae, Streptophyta, Magnoliopsida, Fagales, Betulaceae. The transcript has 3 exons.